Molecule: ribosomal RNA, 119 nt
Filed under: Pteropus alecto (black flying fox)
Lineage: Eukaryota; Metazoa; Chordata; Mammalia; Chiroptera; Pteropodidae
Source: RNAcentral
GUCUACGGCCAUGCCACCCUGAACAAGCCCAAUCCCAUCUGAUCUCGGAAGCAAAGCAGGGUCGGGCCUGGUUAGUACUUGCAUGGGAGACCGCCUAGGAAAACCAGGUGCUGUAGGCG